UAUAAUGUAUAUUACUAACAUUAUCGCCCUGCACUCGGAGUAUGACGAAUAUCGAGGAGAGGAAUAAAUCAUAUCCGCCACCAUAGCCCCUGGAAGAACAACGAGCGCGGCUAGCACUUUCAGGCUAAUUAGGUCAGUACUGCUGCUUGGAGAUAACACCAGAGCUAUAACUAAUGGACUUCUCCUUCAGAAUGCAUAUAGAUUUCGGCUGGAAAAGAUCAAAAGAAGCGUGGGUUAGGUAAUCUCCAAACACAAAAGGUCCAACAAUUGAAAAUCGAAGUGAGCCUGAGCCGAUUAAAUUGUCCAAAAUAAGCAAGUGUUAUGUAUGGUUUAUGAUUUGGGGAUUUCAUACAAUUGAAAAUUAAUUGGCAAUUGUUUCAAUUCAAUUUAAAACUAGUGAAGGGCUUUCUCUCUCUAGUUUCCAGAGAAAGCUUUUUCUCUGAUUCCCUAUAUCUUUUUGUUUGAGCUUUUAGAAAUCAGGCUCCCUUUAGGUGGAGGGAGUGUCCUUCCUGGAAUGUGUGUUCCCUCUUAAAUCUUUGGAUGGUGUGUAAUUUUAUUUUGGCGGUGGUCGGAGCAAAUCUAGCAGAUUCUUUGAGAGGC
Molecule: long non-coding RNA, 600 nt
Filed under: Manihot esculenta (cassava)
Lineage: Eukaryota; Viridiplantae; Streptophyta; Magnoliopsida; Malpighiales; Euphorbiaceae
Description: long non-coding RNA (MESC_LNC002937)
Source: RNAcentral